CUUGCAGUCAAAGUAGCAUCUUUGAAAUAAAAGGGGGCUUUUUUGUUUUUAUUUUUUAAGUGAUUUCUGCCGAUCCGAUCCCUGGCCUCCUUCUUCGAAGCUGGACUCCCUACCUCCGCCCCUCUUCUCUUUCCCAGUCCCCCCUCCCCUUUGAAAGUGCUUUGAAACCCCCAUUAAGAACAGUGUGUGAUCAGACUGAGGAUUAGGGGAAAAGAACUUCAGCUCUAGGGUGGGGCAAACGGACACAGAAACUGCUUUGUAAAAAACACACAAGAAUCCAAAUUAAAACACAGCAACAACAACAACAAAAGGAAAUAAAAAAUUGCCUCUUUUGCCACCUACUUUCAGGUAAUGGAAAAUGAUCGCGACCGCUUGAUGACUUUCUUCCUGCGCUGGGUCAGCCCGAGCUUCCAAAAAUAAAAUAAGUGUGACCCAGGCUGACCACGAAGAACGGAAGAGAGAGAGCUGCACUUCCGAACCGCAGAGACCCGGCGCCAGGCAAGGCGACGCUCCCACCCGCUCCGGGCUAGACCGACCACACGGUGCAGAGGUGGGCACUCCCUCCACCCGGCACCCUGCCUUUUUCUCACCCUGGGGGUCUCCUGCCCCCGAGGCGGGCAACCUGUGUCCCCCAGCCCCACCAGCGCCCCGCCUAGGGCAGCCUCUCCCUGGACUUUGCCUUCCACCAAGAGGAGGAACAGGUUAGAAAUGCGGUCGCCUGCAAAGGCAACCUGGAAAAUACAAAGUGUUUUUCUCUCCCUCUCCCGCUCUCAGCGCCGAAUUCGCGGCCAGUGCACGGCUGGGAGCAGACUUCAGGCUAGCUGUCCUCCGUCCCAACCCCCUAGAGCGCGGGCGCGCGGGGUCGCCUGUCGGGGACACUGCACGGGGUGCAUACAGAAGUCCCCGCAGAGGCAGGCCGAGCCCAAGCCCCGGGCGAGGCAGGUCCGCGGGGAGCGCCCCGGAUCCUCGCGAAGACCCUGCGGGAUUUGAGAAAGGGAGGCUCGGGGAGAGACGGACCCAACUCCUGGUCCGGCUGCACCUACUCCAUGUUGCCCACAACGCGCCGGCCGCGGCGCCAGGAGAGGAAGAGCCAAACGUGCCUCACCGUGAUCGCGGCUUUGCACCAACCCCUCUCCCUUGGAUUCUCUUCUUUCUGCGAUGUGCAAAUAAAUCCAGUCUCGAUGCAAACUUUUUUCCUUUCCAACCUCUGCUUCAGACCAACUUCCGAGCAAUCGGCGGGAGAAAAAAAGAGAAUUCGGAGCCAAAUUCCCCGCUGAUGAACACUCCGGGGUUCGGGGCUGGAGACGACCCCCCUUCUACAAGCGCACGCGGAGUAUUUCCUCUUUUUUCUCAAUGAACAAGAGGCCGAAGCGCCAACGCAUUUUCAGCUUCAAACAUGUGUUACCUGACUAGAUGGAAUUCCUUGAGAACUGUAUUAACAUGUUUCAAAGAGUU
RNAcentral lists this long non-coding RNA (1455 nucleotides) under Pan troglodytes (chimpanzee). RNAcentral's name for it is "long non-coding RNA NONPTRT004329". Lineage: Eukaryota; Metazoa; Chordata; Mammalia; Primates; Hominidae. The record is from RNAcentral.